UUGGAGGAAAGUAGGGGAUCGCAAGACCUUGCGCUUUUGGAGCGGCCGAUGUCUGAUUAGCUAGUUGGUGGGGUAAUGGCUUACCAAGGCUUCGAUCAGUAGCUGGUCUGAGAGGACGACCAGCCACACUGGGACUGAGACACGGCCCAGACUCCUACGGGAGGCAGCAGUGGGGAAUUUUGGACAAUGGGGGAAACCCUGAUCCAGCCAUGCCGCGUGAGUGAAGAAGGCCUUCGGGUUGUAAAGCUCUUUCAGUCGGAACGAAAUGGUCACGGUUAAUACCCGUGACAAAUGACGGUACCGGAAGAAGAAGCACCGGCUAACUACGUGCCAGCAGCCGCGGUAAUACGUAGGGUGCAAGCGUUAAUCGGAAUUACUGGGCGUAAAGCGUGCGCAGGCGGUUUUGUAAGUCAGAUGGAAUCCCCGGCUUACCCU
RNAcentral lists this ribosomal RNA (435 nucleotides) under uncultured Nitrosospira sp. RNAcentral's name for it is "bacterial SSU rRNA". It matches the Rfam family "Bacterial small subunit ribosomal RNA", at positions 186 to 615 of the family's 1533-position model. Lineage: Bacteria; Pseudomonadati; Pseudomonadota; Betaproteobacteria; Nitrosomonadales; Nitrosomonadaceae. The record is from RNAcentral.